GUUCAUUUGGCUGACGCGGUGAUCAGGACUGCACACUUCUGUGGCUCUCUGCUUCAUAGGCCUCUGCUUGAAGGCCUCAGAACACAGAACAGUGGGCAGAGAUUUCAGUCUGUAGAUGGUUCCCCACAGACCUGCAGUAGCAAUACAUAUCAACACGGAUCGCUCAUAUAGGGAAGAACCACAGGCAGUUCAUCGGCUG
Girardinichthys multiradiatus is the source of this 199-nucleotide long non-coding RNA. RefSeq lists it as uncharacterized. NCBI's taxonomy places the organism in Eukaryota, Metazoa, Chordata, Actinopteri, Cyprinodontiformes, Goodeidae. The record is from RefSeq and is a predicted model, not a curated record. The transcript has 3 exons.